UACGGAGGGUGCGAGCGUUAAUCGGAAUUACUGGGCGUAAAGGGCGCGUAGGCGGUGAAGUCAGUCGGGUGUGAAAGCCCCGGGCGUCAACCUGGGAACGUGCAUUCGAUACUGCUUCGCUAGAGUAUGGUAGAGGGAAGCGGAAUUCCGGGCGUAGCGGUGAAAUGCGUAGAUAUCCGGAGGAACACCAGUGGCGAAGGCGGCUUCCUGGACCAAUACUGACGCUGAGGCGCGAAAGCGUGGGGAUCAAACAGGAUUAGAAACCCCCACGUAGU
This 275-nucleotide ribosomal RNA is filed under the name uncultured bacterium. RNAcentral's name for it is "partial 16S ribosomal RNA". It matches the Rfam family "Bacterial small subunit ribosomal RNA", at positions 524 to 794 of the family's 1533-position model. The record is from RNAcentral.